UUGAACGCUGGCGGCAGGCCUAACACAUGCAAGUCGAGCGGAUGAAGGGAGCUUGCUCCUGGAUUCAGCGGCGGACGGGUGAGUAAUGCCUAGGAAUCUGCCUGGUAGUGGGGGAUAACGUCCGGAAACGGGCGCUAAUACCGCAUACGUCCUGAGGGAGAAAGUGGGGGAUCUUCGGACCUCACGCUAUCAGAUGAGCCUAGGUCGGAUUAGCUAGUUGGUGGGGUAAAGGCCUACCAAGGCGACGAUCCGUAACUGGUCUGAGAGGAUGAUCAGUCACACUGGAACUGAGACACGGUCCAGACUCCUACGGGAGGCAGCAGAGGGGAAUAUUGGACAAUGGGCGAAAGCCUGAUCCAGCCAUGCCGCGUGUGUGAAGAAGGUCUUCGGAUUGUAAAGCACUUUAAGUUGGGAGGAAGGGCAGUAAGUUAAUACCUUGCUGUUUUGACGUUACCAACAGAAUAAGCACCGGCUAACUUCGUG
RNAcentral lists this ribosomal RNA (483 nucleotides) under uncultured bacterium. Its description in RNAcentral is "partial 16S ribosomal RNA". It matches the Rfam family "Bacterial small subunit ribosomal RNA", at positions 30 to 507 of the family's 1533-position model. The record is from RNAcentral.